ACUCCUACGGGAGGCAGCAGUGGGGAAUAUUGCACAAUGGGCGCAAGCCUGAUGCAGCCAUGCCGCGUGUGUGAAGAAGGCCUUCGGGUUGUAAAGCACUUUCAGUGGGGAGGAAAGGUUGUUGGUUAAUACCUAACAGCCUGUGACGUUACCCACAGAAGAAGCACCGGCUAACUCCGUGCCAGCAGCCGCGGUAAUUACGGAGGGUGCAAGCGUUAAUCGGAAUUACUGGGCGUAAAGCGGUG
Molecule: ribosomal RNA, 245 nt
Filed under: uncultured bacterium
Lineage: Bacteria
Description: partial 16S ribosomal RNA
Rfam family: Bacterial small subunit ribosomal RNA
Source: RNAcentral